CUAUAAUGCAGUCGAGCGAACGGACGAGAGUGCUUGCACUCUCCGAAGUUAGCGGCGGACGGGUGAGUAACACGUGGGUAACCUACCUAUAAGACUGGGAUAACUUCGGGAAACCGGAGCUAAUACCGGAUAAUAUUUAGCUUCGCAUGAAGCAAUAGUGAAAGACGGUUCUGCUGUCACUUAUAGAUGGACCCGCGGUGUAUUAGCUAGUUGGUGAGGUAACGGCUCACCAAGGCAACGAUACAUAGCCGACCUGAGAGGGUGAUCGGCCACACUGGGACUGAGACACGGCCCAGACUCCUACGGGAGGCAGCAGUAGGGAAUCUUCCGCAAUGGACGAAAGUCUGACGGAGCAACGCCGCGUGAGUGAAGAAGGUUUUCGGAUCGUAAAACUCUGUUGUAAGGGAAGAACAAGUACGUUAGUAACUGAACGUACCUUGACGGUACCUUACCAGAAAGCCACGGCUAACUACGUGCCAGCAGCCGCGGUAAUACGUAGGUGGCAAGCGUUAUCCGGAAUUAUUGGGCGUAAAGCGCGCGUAGGCGGUCUCUUAAGUCUGAUGUGAAAGCCCCCGGCUCAACCGGGGAGGGUCAUUGGAAACUGGGAGACUUGAGUGCAGAAGAGGAGAGUGGAAUUCCAUGUGUAGCGGUGAAAUGCGCAGAGAUAUGGAGGAACACCAGUGGCGAAGGCGGCUCUCUGGUCUGUAACUGACGCUGAGGUGCGAAAGCGUGGGGAUCAAACAGGAUUAGAUACCCUGGUAGUCCACGCCGUAAACGAUGAGUG
RNAcentral lists this ribosomal RNA (784 nucleotides) under uncultured Macrococcus sp. Its description in RNAcentral is "bacterial SSU rRNA". It matches the Rfam family "Bacterial small subunit ribosomal RNA", at positions 51 to 815 of the family's 1533-position model. Lineage: Bacteria; Bacillati; Bacillota; Bacilli; Caryophanales; Staphylococcaceae. The record is from RNAcentral.